GACGAACGCUGGCGGCGUGCCUAACACAUGCAAGUCGAACGGAACUAUUAAUGAGCUUGCUUAGAGAUAGUUUAGUGGCGGACGGGUGAGUAACGCGUGAGUAACCUGCCUUUCAGAGGGGGAUAACGUCUGGAAACGGACGCUAAUACCGCAUGACAUUUCGGAGUCGCCUGGCUUUGAAAUCAAAGGAGCAAUCCGCUGAAAGAUGGACUCGCGUCCGAUUAGCUAGUUGGUGAGAUAAAAGCCCACCAAGGCGACGAUCGGUAGCCGGACUGAGAGGUUGAACGGCCACAUUGGGACUGAGACACGGCCCAGACUCCUACGGGAGGCAGCAGUGGGGGAUAUUGCACAAUGGAGGAAACUCUGAUGCAGCAACGCCGGCGUGAGGGAAGAAGGUUUUCGGAUUGUAAACCUCUGUCCUUGGUGAAGAAAGAAAUGACGGUAGCCCAAGGAGGAAGCUCCGGCUAACUACGUUGCCAGCCAGCCGCGGUAAUACGUAGGGAGCCAAGCGUUGUCCGGAUUUACUGGGUGUAAAGGGUGCGUAGGCGGCUCUGCAAGUCAGGCGUGAAAACCAUGGGCUUAACCCAUGGACUGCGUUUGAAACUGUGGGGCUUGAGUGAAGUAGAGGUAGGCGGAAUUCCCGGUGUAGCGGUGAAAUGCGUAGAGAUCGGGAGGAA
Molecule: ribosomal RNA, 677 nt
Filed under: uncultured bacterium
Lineage: Bacteria
Description: bacterial SSU rRNA
Rfam family: Bacterial small subunit ribosomal RNA
Source: RNAcentral